CAGUCGCCGCGGGAAUACGUAGGUGGCAAGCGUUGUCCGGAAUUAUUGGGCGUAAAGGGCUCGCAGGCGGUUUCUUAAGUCUGAUGUGAAAGCCCCCGGCUCAACCGGGGAGGGUCAUUGGAAACUGGGAAACUUGAGUGCAGAAGAGGAGAGUGGAAUUCCACGUGUAGCGGUGAAAUGCGUAGAGAUGUGGAGGAGCACCAGUGGCGAAGGCGACUCUCUGGUCUGUAACUGACGCUGAGGAGCGAAAGCGUGGGGAGCGAACAGGAUUAGAUACCCGCGUAGUCCCUGUCUCUUAUAC
This 301-nucleotide ribosomal RNA is filed under the name uncultured bacterium. RNAcentral's name for it is "partial 16S ribosomal RNA". It matches the Rfam family "Bacterial small subunit ribosomal RNA", at positions 509 to 807 of the family's 1533-position model. The record is from RNAcentral.